UGGGUAAUAUUGCACAAUGGGCGCAAGCCUGAUGCAGCCAUGCCGCGUGUAUGAAGAAGGCCUUCGGGUUGUAAAGUACUUUCAGCGGGGAGGAAGGGAGUAAAGUUAAUACCUUUACUCAUUGACGUUACCCGCAGAAGAAGCACCGGCUAACUCCGUGCCAGCAGCCGCGGUAAUACGGAGGGUGCAAGCAUUAAUCGGAAUUACUGGGCGUAAAGCGCACGCAGGCGGUCUGUCACGUCGGAUGUGAAAUCCCCGGGCUCAACCUGGGAACUGCAUUCGAAACUGGCAGGCUAGAGUCUUGUAGAGGGGGGUAGAAUUCCAGGUGUAGCGGUGAAAUGCGUAGAGAUCUGGAGGAAUACCGGUGGCGAAGGCGGCCCCCUGGACAAAGACUGACGCUCAGGUGCGAAAGCGUGGGGAGCAAACAGG
Molecule: ribosomal RNA, 429 nt
Filed under: Chloroflexota bacterium
Lineage: Bacteria; Bacillati; Chloroflexota
Description: Chloroflexi bacterium partial 16S ribosomal RNA
Rfam family: Bacterial small subunit ribosomal RNA
Source: RNAcentral